AACAGGAUUAGAUACCCUGGUAGUCCACGCCGUAAACGAUGUCGACUUGGAGGUUGUGCCCUUGAGGCGUGGCUUCCGGAGCUAACGCGUUAAGUCGACCGCCUGGGGAGUACGGCCGCAAGGUUAAAACUCAAAUGAAUUGACGGGGGCCCGCACAAGCGGUGGAGCAUGUGGUUUAAUUCGAUGCAACGCGAAGAACCUUACCUACUCUUGACAUCCAGAGAACUUAGCAGAGAUGCUUUGGUGCCUUCGGGAACUCUGAGACAGGUGCUGCAUGGCUGUCGUCAGCUCGUGUUGUGAAAUGUUGGGUUAAGCCCCGCAACGAGCGCAACCCUUAUCCUUUGUUGCCAGCGGUUAGGCCGGGAACUCAAAGGAGACUGCCAGUGAUAAACUGGAGGAAGGUGGGGAUGACGUCAAGUCAUCAUGGCCCUUACGAGUAGGGCUACACACGUGCUACAAUGGCAUAUACAAAGAGAAGCGACCUCGCGAGAGCAAGCGGACCUCAUAAAGUAUGUCGUAGUCCGGAUUGGAGUCUGCAACUCGGCUCCAUGAAGUCGGAAUCGCUAGUAAUCGUGGAUCAGAAUGCCACGGUGAAUACGUUCCCGGGCCUUGUACACACCGCCCGUCACACCAUGGGAGUGGGUUGCAAAAGAAGUAGGUAGCUUAACCUUCGGGAGGGCGCUUACCACUUUGUGAUUCAUGACUGGGGUGAAGUCGUAACAAGGUAACC
RNAcentral lists this ribosomal RNA (730 nucleotides) under uncultured bacterium. Its description in RNAcentral is "bacterial SSU rRNA". It matches the Rfam family "Bacterial small subunit ribosomal RNA", at positions 771 to 1501 of the family's 1533-position model. The record is from RNAcentral.